RNAcentral lists this long non-coding RNA (1694 nucleotides) under Carassius auratus (goldfish). Its description in RNAcentral is "lncRNA (ENSCARG00000025446.1)". The record is from RNAcentral. Lineage: Eukaryota; Metazoa; Chordata; Actinopteri; Cypriniformes; Cyprinidae.
GUCACACCCAGGGGCGGCUAUGCUUUGACUAAGCCACACCCCUUUUCAACUUCCACCUCGAGGAGGUCCCCAAAGCCAACCCAAUGGCCAAACAACACGAGAAACAAGUAAGUGAUAAAACAAUCUUUAUUUAAAUAUUUAAAAAUAGCUUGGGGAAUAGGGAAAGGGCAAUUAAAACUAAACUCUGACUCGGCCCUCCAGAUGGGCUAUGGCCGGGAAGAGGUCAGGGAGCAAGGGGGCCACGGGGAUCCGGGGCGUGGGACUCGGGGCCCGGCCAGAGUCUUAGGUAUCCGUAGCGCCCUCCUUCUUCCUCCUCUUCGCUGAAUACAACUCACGGUAAGUACUGGUUCACACAGUUCGUUCUCGGGGUGCUCACUCUCUUUCUCUUCCUCCACAGGCAACGGCUGGGACGCAAAGGCACAGUUAAUUCGGCUUGGUAUUGCUCUCACCUCUUCGCUGAUUGCAGCUCACAGUAUCAACUUGGACACAAAACACAGUUACUCUGCUUUGGAUGGCUUUCACCUCUGGGCUGGACACAACGUACUGUAAGUACAGGGUUCGCUCUAUUCCUCCUCGUGUUAUUCACUCUCUCUCCUUUUCUCUCCACAGGUAUCAACUUGGGCACAAUAGCACAGUUAGUUUGCUUUGAAUGACUCUCACCUCUGGACUGGACACAGCGUACUGUAAGUACAGGUUUCGCUCUAUUUCUCCUCGCGUUAUCCACUCUCUCUCCUCCUCUCUACAGGUAUCAACUUGGACACAAAACACAGUUACUCUGCUUUGGAUGGCUUUCACCUCUGGGCUGGACACAACAUACCGUAAGUACAGGGUUCGCUCUAUUCCUCCUCGUGUUAUUCACUCUCUCUCCUUUUCUCUCCACAGGUAUCAGAUUGGACACAAAGCACAGUUAGUUUGCUUUGAAUAGCUCCCACCUCUGGGCUGAACACAGCGUACCGUGCUAUCUCCGGAGAUCUGAAGCACGCUCACAACAUAUACUGUACUGAACUAGGCUAGAACCAGCAGUCUCCUUGUCCUCCCGCGACGGAGUGCGUGAAGGAGGGGGUUUAUCUGACAGGACACACGGCAAUACACAGCAACCCACAGCAAUAUACAGCACCACGUCAAAAUUUUAGGUUUUCACAGCACGAAGACUCACCCACCACACUCAGUGUACGAAAAGGACACCCGUCUUCCUUCACUUCGCUUGGUUCGGAUCUGGCGAUGGAAUAUGCGGCCUAGCUAGUGAUGUCGUCGUUGUGACUACUUCAAUAAGUAUUCCUUCGGCUCUCCCACCACGCUAUAUUAGGGGUAGGGCCGCCCUCCUCCUCCUGGGGAGAUCUACACAACGCCAGGUCAAUAUACAGGGCACUUUCGGCUUGCUCUUAGUACUCACAUCAAUGCCGCUUCCAAUCCCCUUUUUCACGUCGUCUCAAUUCGCCGUAUAAUCCGUUCACUUCUCAACCUUUAAGGUUCGCGAUGUCUUCACAAUCAUACAAUUCCAGCCUGAGGGAGAGAGAGAGUUAGACAGCCACCAGCAGCGCACCAAGACGGGCACGACACAGUGCUUCACACACACCAGAAAGAGCUCCCAGACUGUGAAAUAACUUGGCCUUAAGUACUGCCUUGUCCAGCGUAUCCUCCAAUCACCAACCGCUGUCCCUAACUAGGCACAGGUGCAUCGAAUUCCCUGAUUU